CGGGGGAGCCUGGUGGGCUGCCGUCUAUGGGGUCGCACAGAGUCGGACACGACUGAAGCAACUUAGCAGCAGCAGCAGCAGCAGCAAGACAGCAGAAAUUCCCUUCCAGGAGAGGAGGCAGAGCCUCAGAUGGAAGUCCCAGAUUCUACAACCCAUCAGCUUUCAAAGGGAUUCUGGAGCACUCUCUGGGAAUUUUGGAUGGACAAAAACCAGGAUGAUGUUGGGUCCAGCCUGAGACAGGCUAGAAAGAAGCCUGGAAGCCUGGGCAAAAGACUCUCUCUGAGCUUCAGUUUCCCGGAGUGAAGAGUGAAGGCAUCGCGUGCUAGGGGUGCGUCUGGGAGCCCUUCUGGAUUACUACAUGGAGGGCUGCUUGGAAGAGGCUUCCUUGAAGAGUCUGCAGUAACUUCUGGGACAUGUCCAUCAUGGGACGGGAUGGGCCCAGAGAAUACAUUCCUUUGGAAAGUACACAUGGAAACGUGAGGAUGGACUUAAAGGGCAAA
Bubalus bubalis (water buffalo) is the source of this 500-nucleotide long non-coding RNA. RefSeq lists it as uncharacterized. Lineage: Eukaryota; Metazoa; Chordata; Mammalia; Artiodactyla; Bovidae. The record is from RefSeq and is a predicted model, not a curated record. The transcript has 3 exons.